CUUGCUUUUGUCAAAGCUCGCCUCUUAGUUUCGACUACAGCCCCAACUACUCCUCCACAGGGAGAACAACUAGAAGCCUUUCGCGGUUCAUCGAUUCUACAACAAACAACAACAUUCGUCACAGCAGUGGAAUUUAUGUUGUAUAGGGUGUUGUUCCGUCGACAGUUUCUUCGGUGCAUCCGUGAUGAAGUGUCGUCGAAUGUCGAACGGGCGGUUUGGCGUUCGUGCACAGCUGGCUUCACCGUCCACGCCGGUGUUGGUACAGUUCGCCGUUGCAUGUACGGAGCUGUCUGUCCAGCAUAUUCUAGGAUGUCCGACGGGCUGCACGCGGAUACUGGAGCCACCGACCACAUGCAGCGGAGGUGAACUGCGGCUCAUCUGUGCUGACGGCAACACUGAGAGGUGCGGCGCAAAGCUAACCCAACGAAUGACUUUCACCACUCCAAUCUGAGUCGGCGUGCUGACACCCUCCAUGCACUAUGUGACUAUGCACUGUUUCAUAUACGUGGUAACACGGUACUAGCUACCACCAGCACGGAAAGUUUUAUUGUUCUGUUACUGUGGCUUUGGUGGUAAGAUGAUUGGAUCAAUGCCCGGUACUGCUGCAGAGGUCAUCGCUGCUCACGGGUGACGUCAGUUGAGCCUGGGUGCAUCACCAUUGCCACGAGAUAAAGCACUCAUUACCUAUCCAACAGUCUCGUCCCUGCAUAUUUGUUUUAUUUUAUUCCCGCCUGUCUAUGUUGUGCACAUAAUAUUUUCUGUGGUCUUCUUCUCCGGUCUGUAUUCUCGUUUUCCUCCACUUUUUCAUAGGCAGUAGUUAUGUUGUCGUUGCCCUUUGUACGGCGUUCGCCGCUGAGUACCUCCACCUACUAUGUUGUCGGUGCCUUGCCCCUUUUGGCGUUGCAGGUUUAGCCACUGCACGCGUGCGUAUAUUUAUUUCCCUGAUUUUCUUCUCCGAUAGAAUUUCCGACUUGUUUCU
Molecule: long non-coding RNA, 979 nt
Organism: Sycon ciliatum
Lineage: Eukaryota; Metazoa; Porifera; Calcarea; Leucosolenida; Sycettidae
Exons: 5
Source: RefSeq, a predicted model, not a curated record